UACGAGGGGGGCGAGCGUUGUUCGGAAUUAUUGGGCGUAAAGGGUGCGUAGGCGGUUUGGUAAGUCUUAUGUGAAAUCUACAGGCUCAGCUUGUAGUCUGCAUGAGAAACUGCCGGGCUUGAGUAUGGGAGAGGUGAGUGGAAUUCCUGGUGUAGCGGUGAAAUGCGUAGAUAUCAGGAGGAACACCAAUGGCGAAGGCAGCUCGCUGGGACGGUACUGACGCUGAGACGCGAAAGCGUGGGGAGCAAACAGG
This 253-nucleotide ribosomal RNA is filed under the name uncultured bacterium. Its description in RNAcentral is "partial 16S ribosomal RNA". It matches the Rfam family "Bacterial small subunit ribosomal RNA", at positions 524 to 776 of the family's 1533-position model. The record is from RNAcentral.